This 70-nucleotide transfer RNA is filed under the name Marmota monax (woodchuck). RNAcentral describes it as "tRNA.Ala". The record is from RNAcentral. Lineage: Eukaryota; Metazoa; Chordata; Mammalia; Rodentia; Sciuridae.
GGGCUGGGGCUCAGUGGUGGAGCACUCGUCUAGCACGUGUGAGGCCCUGGGUUCAAUCCUCAGCACCACA